Molecule: long non-coding RNA, 3463 nt
Organism: Crotalus tigris (Tiger rattlesnake)
Lineage: Eukaryota; Metazoa; Chordata; Lepidosauria; Squamata; Viperidae
Exons: 3
Source: RefSeq, a predicted model, not a curated record
GUCCAGUUGCCUUGUGAAAAAGUAUCUUUGGGACAACUAUGACUUGGAUCACUGAGAAUCUCCAUAGACACUUUGAGUUAGUAGGUAAUAUUUCUUUAGGUUCUAGCCAUUACCCCAUCUGUUUGCUCAAAUAGAGUCUAUGAUUCAACCACAAUUUCAGCUAAGAAACAGUAAACAUUUUAGAUCAAGUUAGGUCUUAAAUUACAAGAGAAUUUCUAGAAGAUUGGUCAUCUGACAGAACUAAAUCAAUAGAUACAAAGAAAUAAGCCCCAUUUAUGAACCAUUCCAAAGGAACAAGAACAGGUCAAAGAAAGAGGCACUCCAGAACACACAUUCACUUAUUGUACAUCCAUUAACCAAAUCCUAGGUAAGCAGAAACCAUCACCUGAUUAGAACAAUAGCCAUCAAUCAACAUAGUCUGUCCAAACCCACAUAAGACUGGUAGUACAAGUGGCUAUAUAAAAAACACCAACAAAACUUGCUUCCCAUGCCAGAACACUGAUGGUGUGACCUUGUCUGGUAAUGAAAUGUCUGUCAGAAGAAAAUCUAAGACAUGAUCUAUCAAAGAUCUCUUGAAUAUGGUAUUCUGGAUUCUCAAAAUUCAUUUUUGAUUAAUUCCUUAAUGUUUCAGCCUGGUCAUCAAUAUUUCUGAUACUGUAAUGUAGAAUGAAGGAUACUGGAAGCUAUGAUCAGCCAAGGCAAACAUGGGUAUUUGUGGUGAGCACUGAAUGAAGAAAAAAGAAUAUGCUAUAUUAUACAAAAGAACUCAAUAAUAUUAUGCUACACAUUAAACAAAGCUGUCAUGUUUUUAAGGUAAGAAAGGUUGAAAAAGCUCAAACUAAAGGUAUUGGGAAAACUAUAGGAAUGACAUGAUUUCAUUUCCUUGAACCUAGCCAAAUUUUGUUAUAGUACCUGUACAAUUAAUCAUACCUGGGUUGGCCAUGAAUGCAACUACCAAAUGCAAUAUCCUUAUUCUGUUGUGUUGUUAUUUUAUUUUUAAUGUGUUUUAUUUUAAGACUGGUCUAUGACUAAUAUAAUAGACUAAUAUAAUUCUCUUUCUGUUUUUCUCUAGGAAUAACAUGCCAGAUAUAAGACAUUAAAAUCUCUGAGCUAUGAAUGAAACAUUUGAUGCUGUUUGUAAUGUCACAAGACGAACUGAAAAUUAUUCCUUGUGCUGCCACUGGUCUGAUUUAUGCUGUUUAAGAAUAUCAGUUUCUGCAGAGAGAGAUCAGAAAGACAAAUGAGGAGAGCUGCAUUAUUAUGUUUACAGCAUGGUGAACCAUAUGAAAUACAUCGGAGAUCACAGCAGCAAACUGAUCAUUGUGACUACAAAUUCAGAUUUUUAUGGUAACAGAUUGUUAUGGUAAGCAUGUGUUUUGUAAAAUAAUUCUUUUCCUAGACUAUUAAUUUUUAUGAUUAAAUUAAAUUAUCCUUGAGUGGCUUCAUUCAUAUAGAAUUAGAAAUGCUCAAAGAGAGAAAACAAUGAGGAGAAAGACAAAGGGAGAAGGGGUGAGCGUCAAAGGAAUAGCAUAACAUAAUGGCAAGUAAGGAAUGGAGCCUAGAAUUCUUCAAAAUGUCCAGAGCUAUCUCCUUUUAACAAGAUUAUCUGCAUCAUUUUUCUUUCUUUCUUUCUUCUUGUUUUUUUUUUUUUUUUUGAUAGACUAUCUGCCAAGCCAGUCUUCAUUACAGAGGAUUGGGCCAAACUGUGCAUUACAGAUGGAAUUUUUUUGCCACAAGGAAUGCUCUUUGGAGCCAAGCUGCUUGAGGUCCAAUCUAAGCCCAUAAAACCAAAAUGUAAUUUAGUGCAAGACUGAAAUAUUUAUAUACUUUGCAUCAGUAAAAAAAAUAAUCAAGCAUUAUUAUUGCAUAUGGGCCAGUGUUGCACUUCUGUCUGAAGAUGAUUACCCAAUUAAUAUACAAUCCACAAUGAUUUGCUGCAUUAUUCUGCAGAAUCUUCAAAUGGAGUUUUCUAAGUUGGUUUGUGAGUGGUCUAACUUGUCUCUCAAUACUUGCCUAAAACCUAAGUGGUAACAAGAUGUGACAGGGCAGAUCAAUUGUAAAACUCUUAGAUUUUGCUUUGUUCUUAGUUAACAUACUUGCAGAGGGCAAACCAUUAUUUGGACAAGAGAGAAAAUCCUUUUUCCUAUGUAGUUUUCCAAUUCAAGUCCAAAACACUGAAAUUGUCUUUGAUUGGACCCAUUUUUUAAAGUUUUUUUUUAAAGAAUCUAUGAAAAUUGCAUAAAAAUGAUCCCUGUUACUGAAGGUACUAAAAUCAUGCUUUAUUUUAUUGAAUUACUGAUUUGGUCCCUUGCUAUCUGUCACUUUACCUGCAUUUUCUUUACCUUUGUAAUUUUGCUUAUGAGGCAAAAUUUUGAAGCAACUGUAUUUAAGUCAAAAGAAUUCUUCUUUCAAAACUGCAUCUUAAGGCCUGGACCAACAUUUAUUUUUUUAUUGAAGAUUCCAAGGUUUUGGAUUAUUGUUACCAAACAAUCUUUUGCUUGUAGAAUGAAUUGGACAAUGUGCUUUCACCUUUUCACAGUCACUUGCAAAUGAAAUAACUCCUAUGCCACUCUGGAAAUAUAUACAUUGAACUGAAUGCAGUCUUUGACACAGACAAAGAUAUAGGGAGAUAAGCACAUAGAAAUAUGUGGGCAAAAGUAUCAAUAAAUCCUGUUAGGAACACAAUUUCUUAAUGCAGAGUCAUGAUCCAAGGAAAGGGUGAAAGAACAUGGUUUUGGAACCUUGCUUGGUAAUAUUUGAAAAUUCACUUUUUUUUCUGACAUUCUUUUUGUUCCCCUCUGACAACCUUUUUUUCUCUUCAGCAAGUUACCAGGUAGAUUUUGGCAGAGCUCUGAGCUGCUUGCUCUCAAAGAGCAAUUGAAAGUAAUGAGGGCUUCAUUUGAUCUUAGGGCUGCACAUCCUUGACAUAAAUGAAUAUUCUUUGGGCUGUAAUAAUUAUUUUUCAGAGAUGAAAUCAAAAUCCUUAAAGCAAAGACACACAAUGUAUAGUACAAAAUGAGAUUCCUUAUAUGUGGCAUUUUCUGAUUUCUGGAUUUAAUACUGGACUGUAUGGGCUUGUGGUAUUCUCUGAAGUGACAAAAUUGAAGAGGGAGUAAAAGAACAAGGAAACAGAAGCAAGAUUCCCAGGUCCCCAGAGCAUAGUCUCUGUGUCAAUACGUCUGCGUGCUGGGGAAAUUUUCCAUACUGAAAAAAGACAAUUUAAUAGCCUCAAGAGUUUUGCAGUGAUCCACCAGAAUGUGAUUUUUAAGACUUUUGCAGAGUUGCUACAAGUGAGAUCCUGUGAAGCGGACAUACGUUAUGCAAGUCACUAUGAGAAAGGUCAGUUAAUAAGCCUGAAAAAAUCCAUCUGUUCUGACAAAGUGCAUGAACUUAGAUUAACCAGCCCACUUAUAUAAAUAUUUUUGGAAACACUUGUGGAAAAUAAAGUGAGAUUUCUAUUUAA